This 313-nucleotide long non-coding RNA is filed under the name Hordeum vulgare. Its description in RNAcentral is "long non-coding RNA (HVUL_LNC017557)". Lineage: Eukaryota; Viridiplantae; Streptophyta; Magnoliopsida; Poales; Poaceae. The record is from RNAcentral.
AUUUGUUUGGUAUUCGGACCGGAUCGGCACCCCUUCAUUAAAUGGAUAGGAGUAGCGAUAGAUGUUAUCAGCUGGUGGUUUCAGACUUUCUGAUGUAUAUUAUUUAUAAGGUCUUUAUGAAUAAUUAAUAAAGUGGUCUGCACAUGUCUGGGGUCAUUCUGCUUUUCUAAAAAAAAAAAGCUCUCACAGCUCGUACUAUCUGGUUCAGUGCUGAAGAAAAUAUUUCGGUCAAAAACAUCAACGUCUGCAGUUUUGAGGUUUGACACAUUACCUGACUAAGACUGACCCAUUUGCAACCUUCACCUGAUUAGUG